Molecule: long non-coding RNA, 458 nt
Organism: Oncorhynchus keta (chum salmon)
Lineage: Eukaryota; Metazoa; Chordata; Actinopteri; Salmoniformes; Salmonidae
Exons: 2
Source: RefSeq, a predicted model, not a curated record
ACCACGCCAGUCCAGAUCCUCUACAUCAGGGGAGGGGGUGCUGAGGAGUGUCUGUCUGUAAUGAAGCCCAUUUGUCCGGACAACUCAUUCUGAGUGGGUGGGCCUGGCUCUUAAGUGGGUGGGCCUAAGCCCUCCCAGGCCCAUGCUGGAUCUGGCUCCCCAGUGGGUGGGCCUAAGCCCUCCCAGGCCCAUCCAUGGCUACGCCCCUGCCCAGUCAUGUGAAUUCCAUUAGAUUACGACCGAAUGAAUUUAUUUCAUCAAAUGAACGGAGUGUAAAUCAUUGCCAUGUUUGUUCAGUAUAUAUUUAACAGGCAGGUUAGCAUUACCAAACACAUUUCCUCAUUGAUAUGUUUGUUCAGUAUAUAUUUAACAGGCAGGUUAGCAUUACCAAACACAUUUCCUCAUUGAUCCGAGCUGAAUUGUGACUAACAGUUGGGUAUAAAAUGCUGUUGUCUGGU